GAUGAACGCUGGCGGCGUGCCUAAUACAUGCAAGUCGAGCGAACAGAUAAGGAGCUUGCUCCUUUGACGUUAGCGGCGGACGGGUGAGUAACACGUGGGUAACCUACCUAUAAGACUGGGAUAACUUCGGGAAACCGGAGCUAAUACCGGAUAACAUUUGGAACCGCAUGGUUCUAAAGUGAAAGAUGGUUUUGCUAUCACUUAUAGAUGGACCCGCGCCGUAUUAGCUAGUUGGUAAGGUAACGGCUUACCAAGGCAACGAUGCGUAGCCGACCUGAGAGGGUGAUCGGCCACACUGGAACUGAGACACGGUCCAGACUCCUACGGGAGGCAGCAGUAGGGAAUCUUCCGCAAUGGGCGAAAGCCUGACGGAGCAACGCCGCGUGAGUGAUGAAGGGUUUCGGCUCGUAAAACUCUGUUAUUAGGGAAGAACAAACGUGUAAGUAACUGUGCACGUCUUGACGGUACCUAAUCAGAAAGCCACGGCUAACUACGUG
RNAcentral lists this ribosomal RNA (497 nucleotides) under uncultured bacterium. RNAcentral describes it as "partial 16S ribosomal RNA". It matches the Rfam family "Bacterial small subunit ribosomal RNA", at positions 28 to 507 of the family's 1533-position model. The record is from RNAcentral.